GAUGAACGCUGGCGGCGUGCCUAAUACAUGCAAGUCGAGCGAACGGACGAGAAGCUUGCUUUUCUGAUGUUAGCGGCGGACGGGUGAGUAACACGUGGAUAACCUACCUAUAAGACUGGGAUAACUUCGGGAAACCGGAUCUAAUACCGGAUAAUAUUUUGAACCGCAUGGUUCAAAAGUGAAAGACGGUCUUGCUGUCUCUUAUAGAUGGAUCCGCGCUGCAUUAGCUAGUUGGUAAGGUAACGGCUUACCAAGGCAACGAUGCAUAGCCGACGUGAGAGGGUGAUCGGCCACACUGGAACUGAGACACGGUCCAGAGUCCUACGGGAGGCAGCAGUAGGGAAUCUUCCGCAAUGGGCGAAAGCCUGACGGAGCAACGCCGCGUGAGUGAUGAAGGUCUUCGGAUCGUAAAACUCUGUUAUUAGGGAAGAACAUAUGUGUAAGUAACUGUGCACAUCUUGACGGUACCUAAUAAGAAAGCCACGGCUAACUACGUG
This 497-nucleotide ribosomal RNA is filed under the name uncultured bacterium. Its description in RNAcentral is "partial 16S ribosomal RNA". It matches the Rfam family "Bacterial small subunit ribosomal RNA", at positions 28 to 507 of the family's 1533-position model. The record is from RNAcentral.